This 75-nucleotide transfer RNA is filed under the name bacterium (Candidatus Gribaldobacteria) CG08_land_8_20_14_0_20_39_15. RNAcentral describes it as "tRNA-Ala". It matches the Rfam family "tRNA". Rfam says of the family: Transfer RNA (tRNA) molecules are approximately 80 nucleotides in length. The record is from RNAcentral. Lineage: Bacteria; Candidatus Gribaldobacteria.
GGGCCCGUGGCUCAACGGUAGAGUAUUCCCAUGGCAUGGGAAGGGUUAGGGGUUCGAUUCCCCUCGGGUCCACCA